GAUCAUGGCUCAGGAUGAACGCUGGCGGCGUGCUUAACACAUGCAAGUCGAACGGAACUACUUUGAUGAGAUUCUUCGGAAAGGAUUUGAUUUAGUUUAGUGGCGGACGGGUGAGUAACGCGUGGGUAACCUGCCUCAUACAGGGGGAUAACAGUUGGAAACGGCUGUUAAUACCGCAUAAGCGCACAGUACCGCAUGGUACNGUGAAACUAACGUCGGUAGU
Molecule: ribosomal RNA, 223 nt
Filed under: uncultured bacterium
Lineage: Bacteria
Description: partial 16S ribosomal RNA
Rfam family: Bacterial small subunit ribosomal RNA
Source: RNAcentral